This 29-nucleotide non-coding RNA is filed under the name Rattus norvegicus (Norway rat). The record is from RNAcentral. Lineage: Eukaryota; Metazoa; Chordata; Mammalia; Rodentia; Muridae.
UACACAUUGAGACCAACGUACCUCAGAGA